ACCAGACUCCUACGGGAGGCAGCAGUAAGGGAUAUUGGUCAAUGGGGGAAACCCUGAACCAGCAACGCCGCGUGAGGGAAGACGGUUUUCGGAUUGUAAACCUCUGUCCUCUGUGAAGAUGAUGACGGUAGCAGAGGAGGAAGCUCCGGCUAACUACGUGCCGGCAGCCGCGGUAAUACAUAGGGGGCAAGCGUUAUCCGGAUUUACUGGGUGUAAAGGGAGCGUAGACGGCAGCACAAGUCUGAAGUGAAAUGCCGGGGCUUAACCCCGAAACUGCUUUGGAAACUGUGCAGCUAGAGUGCAGGAGAGGUAAGUGGAAUUCCUAGUGUAGCGGUGAAAUGCGUAGAUAUUAGGAGGAACACCAGUGGCGAAGGCGGCUUACUGGACUGUAACUGGCGUUGAGGCUCGAAGGCGUGGGGAGCAAACAGGAUUAGAUACCCGAGUAA
This 446-nucleotide ribosomal RNA is filed under the name uncultured bacterium. RNAcentral describes it as "bacterial SSU rRNA". It matches the Rfam family "Bacterial small subunit ribosomal RNA", at positions 330 to 793 of the family's 1533-position model. The record is from RNAcentral.